UGCCAUCUUCCUCCACAAACCAUGGCUGC
RNAcentral lists this non-coding RNA (29 nucleotides) under Rattus norvegicus (Norway rat). The record is from RNAcentral. Lineage: Eukaryota; Metazoa; Chordata; Mammalia; Rodentia; Muridae.